CCUACGGGAGGCAGCAGUGAGGAAUAUUGGUCAAUGGACGGAAGUCUGAACCAGCCAUGCCGCGUGCAGGAAGACGGCUCUAUGAGUUGUAAACUGCUUUUGUACAAGGGUAAACCUGAAUACGUGUAUUCAGCUGAAAGUACUCUACGAAUAAGGAUCGGCUAACUCCGUGCCAGCAGCCGCGGUAAUACGGAGGAUCCCAGCGUUAUCCGGAUUUAUUGGGUUUAAAGGGUGCGUAGGGGGGUUGAUAAGUUAGGGGUGAAAUGUUCGGGCUUCACUCGGGAACUGCCUGUAAAACUGUUGAUCUAGAGUGUAGGUGAGGUAGGCGGAAUGUAUGGUGUAGCGGUGAAAUGCUUAGAGAUCAUACAGAACACCGAUUGCGAAGGCAGCUUACCAAUCUAUAUCUGACGUUGAGGCACGAAAGCGUGGGGAGCAAACAGGAUUAGAUACCCUUGUAGUC
RNAcentral lists this ribosomal RNA (460 nucleotides) under uncultured bacterium. RNAcentral's name for it is "partial 16S ribosomal RNA". It matches the Rfam family "Bacterial small subunit ribosomal RNA", at positions 338 to 795 of the family's 1533-position model. The record is from RNAcentral.